GAUGAAGAACGUAGCGAAAUGCGAUAAGUAAUGUGAAUUGCAGAAUUCAGUGAAUCAUCGAAUUUUUGAACGCACAUUGCGCCCCCCAGUAUUCUGGCGGGCAUGCCUGUUCGAGCGUCAUUUCAACCAUCAAGCCCUGCUUGUGUUGGGGUCCUGCGGCUGCCCGCAGGCCCUGAAAACCAGUGGCGGGCUCGCUAGUCACACCGAGCGCAGUAGCACAUCUCGCUCAGGGCGUGCGGCGGGCUCCAGCCGUUAAAGCACCCACCUUUCGCAAGGUUGACCUCGGAUCAGGUAGGAAUACCCGCUGAACUUAAGCAUAUCAAUAAGCGGAGGA
RNAcentral lists this unclassified non-coding RNA (334 nucleotides) under soil metagenome. Its description in RNAcentral is "partial contains 5.8S ribosomal RNA, internal transcribed spacer 2, and large subunit ribosomal RNA". The stretch from base 1 to 120 matches the Rfam family "5.8S ribosomal RNA", at positions 35 to 154 of the family's 154-position model. The record is from RNAcentral.